AGAAUUUAUAAGUCUUUCUCAAUCGGUUCCCAAUGCAAAAAAAUAUCCUUUUGUUGUUGUUUUUGAAAUGGCGGUCUAAAGAUAUAAAAUAAAUCAUUGAAGAUAUUGUUUAUACAAAUAAAAACAUAUUUCUGGUUAGAAUAAGUUGUGUUGAAACAUUCAAUGUCACGCAAUGUCUGAAUAGCGGCAGUUGACAGUUGUGAGAUCACUUCAUUUGGACAUCUUAUUUUGACUGAGAUUUUGACAGAGUUUGUUGUUAUCACUGAC
Molecule: long non-coding RNA, 267 nt
Filed under: Mytilus galloprovincialis (Mediterranean mussel)
Lineage: Eukaryota; Metazoa; Mollusca; Bivalvia; Mytilida; Mytilidae
Source: RNAcentral